Molecule: long non-coding RNA, 622 nt
Filed under: Zonotrichia albicollis (white-throated sparrow)
Lineage: Eukaryota; Metazoa; Chordata; Aves; Passeriformes; Passerellidae
Description: lncRNA (ENSZALG00000002919.1)
Source: RNAcentral
CCUCUCCUCUCCCUCUCCUCUCCCUCUCCGUGCCCUUAGAGCAGUCCCUGAGCCAUCUCUGCCAGCGUGGGCAUGCCUGCUGUGAAGGAAGCCAAACUGUACAGAAAUGUCAUCUCUGAUGGCAUUCAAGAGUCCUGACACAAUUACAGAGCCUGGCCCCAGGGGAGAGCUUGCUGGGUGCUCACUCUAAGAUCACAGCCCUGCACUGCCUUGUACAGCAAGGGCGUGCUGCCAGCAGGGCUGAGUGCUGCAAGGCAGAAAGCGCUGUGGGAGCCUCUGGGAGCAGAGCAAGGGAAUAUGUUGAGAGGAGAGGAAGGCAGAGAAAAGAAAGGCACUCAGAGGCUGGGACUCUGAGCAGGGGCAGGACCCUGUGAGCUGACCAGAAAACUGGCACCUCUCAUUGCUCAGUCACGUGUGGGACCCUUCUCUCCCGCUUCCAAUGUGACAGCAAGGCCACGAACUCCUGCUUUGAGGUGACACGGUGAGGACAAUACAGCUGAUGCUCUUCUGGGGAGGGUGUUUAGGAGACACCAAGUGUAGUCUCAUGCACAAGGAUUCCCAGCAGCAGGAAGCUGCUGUGAGAGCAGAAAACAAAGAGCCAGGAAUGGCCCCUUGAAGAGAG